Unclassified non-coding RNA from Papio anubis (olive baboon), 148 nucleotides. It matches the Rfam family "Metazoan signal recognition particle RNA". Rfam says of the family: The signal recognition particle (SRP) is a universally conserved ribonucleoprotein. It is involved in the co-translational targeting of proteins to membranes. The record is from Ensembl. Lineage: Eukaryota; Metazoa; Chordata; Mammalia; Primates; Cercopithecidae.
GCCGGGUGUGGUGGCGGGCGCCUGUAGUCCCAGCUACUUGGGAGGCUGAGGCAGGAGAAUUGCUUGAACCUGGGCAAUGGAGGUUGCAGUGAGCCGAGAUUGCGCCACUGCACUCCAGCCUGGGUGACAGAGCAAGACUCUGUCUCGG